Molecule: transfer RNA, 73 nt
Filed under: Onisimus nanseni
Lineage: Eukaryota; Metazoa; Arthropoda; Malacostraca; Amphipoda; Lysianassidae
Description: tRNA-Asn
Source: RNAcentral
CUUUAGUUGAAGCCAAAACAGAGGCAAAUUAUUGUUAAUAAUUUUACUGAUAUUUUCCUACUGUCAUUAUAGU